UUUCUCUUUGCUUCUGGCUGUACAGGCUACUGCCUCGCCGGCUGGCUAGGUCACUCUCUCCUGCCUCCAUAUUACAUGCCCUAUUUGAGGUCUUCUACUGACUUCUUUAGAAGAUGAACAGUUAUAUAAAAGGUGCAGUUUUAAAGGCAUUCAAAGAUCACUGAAAGCAGUUGAGGCAUCGUACCAGAAAGAGAGACCAGAAGACCCUACUGGUGAAAGUACAGUCCAAUUAAAGCAGAAGACUCCAAGACUUUGGAGAUUCCAGUGCCAUGGGACAAUCUCCAGGAAGAGCAACUAUGGAAUAGAGCCUAUGAGACAAGCUAUGUCCUUAGUGGCAAACAUUUUGGGGGUACACAGAAGACCAUGAAUGAUUUCUGGUUUUUGAAUACUGAGCUCAUUACAGUUUGAAUUUUGUUUUGCUUUGAGUCACUGUGCCCUGAUUGUUCCCUUUUGAAAUAAGAAAUUAUUUUUUUGUUAUUUUACUGUAGGCUACAGUUCGGAGAUUUGAACUUUUAUAAGAGAUUUUGAAGCUUUGUAAAGACUUUGGAUUAUUAAAGAG
Molecule: long non-coding RNA, 559 nt
Filed under: Cricetulus griseus (Chinese hamster)
Lineage: Eukaryota; Metazoa; Chordata; Mammalia; Rodentia; Cricetidae
Description: lncRNA (ENSCGRG00015033278.1)
Source: RNAcentral